RNAcentral lists this ribosomal RNA (489 nucleotides) under uncultured bacterium. RNAcentral's name for it is "partial 16S ribosomal RNA". It matches the Rfam family "Bacterial small subunit ribosomal RNA", at positions 28 to 507 of the family's 1533-position model. The record is from RNAcentral.
GAUGAACGCUAGCGGCAGGCUUAAUACAUGCAAGUCGUGGGGCAGCAGGACUGUAGCAAUACAGUUGCUGGCGACCGGCAAACGGGUGCGGAACACGUACGCAACUUACCCUGAACUGGGGGAUAGCCCGGGGAAACCCGGAUUAAUACCCCGUAAUAUAAUGGAGUGGCAUCACUUUAUUAUUAAAGCUCCGGCGGUUCGGGAUGGGCGUGCGGCUGAUUAGGUAGUUGGUUGAGGUAACGGCUCACCAAGCCUACGAUCAGUAACUGGUGUGAGAGCAGGACCAGUCAGACGGGCACUGAGACACGGGCCCGACUCGUACGGGAGGCAGCAGUAAGGAAUACUGAGCAAUGGAGGCAACUCUGACCCAGCCAUGCCGGGUGGAGGAGGAAGGCCCUCGGGGUUGUAAACUUCUUUUAUAGGGGACGAAACCUGUGUAUUCUUACGCAGUUGACGGUACCCUAGGAAUAAGCACCGGCUAACUCCGUG